CCUACGGGUGGCAGCAGUAGGGAAUAUUGCUCAAUGGGGGAAACCCUGAGGCAGCAAGGCCGCGUGGAGGUUGAAGGUUUUCGGAUUGUAACCUCCUUUUGUUGGAGAAGAUAAUGACGGUUUCUACCAAAUAAGCACCGGCUAACUCCGUGCCGGCAGCCGCGGUAAUACGGGGGGUGCAAGCGUUACUAGGAAUCACUGGGCGGAAAGAGCGCGUAGGCGGGAUAGCAAGUCAGAUGUGAAAUCCUAUGGCUUAACCAUAGAACUGCAUUUGAAACUGUUAUUCUAGAGUAUGGGAGAGGUAGGUGGAAUUCUUGGUGUAGGGGUAAAAUCCGUAGAGAUCAAGAGGAAUACUCAUUGCGAAGGCGACCUGCUAGAACAUAACUGACGCUGAUGCGCGAAAGCGUGGGGAGCAAACAGGAUUAGAUACCCUUGUAGUC
RNAcentral lists this ribosomal RNA (440 nucleotides) under uncultured bacterium. RNAcentral describes it as "partial 16S ribosomal RNA". It matches the Rfam family "Bacterial small subunit ribosomal RNA", at positions 338 to 795 of the family's 1533-position model. The record is from RNAcentral.